This 253-nucleotide ribosomal RNA is filed under the name uncultured bacterium. RNAcentral describes it as "partial 16S ribosomal RNA". It matches the Rfam family "Bacterial small subunit ribosomal RNA", at positions 524 to 776 of the family's 1533-position model. The record is from RNAcentral.
UACGUACCGUACGAACGUUAUUCGGAAUCACUGGGCUUAAAGAGUUCGUAGGCGGCUUGCCAAGUUGGGUGUGAAAUCCCUCGGCCUAACCGAGGAACUGCAUUCAAAACUGGCGGGCUUGGGGAAGACAGAGGUGAGCGGAACUCACGGUGGAGCGGUGAAAUGCGUUGAUAUCGUGAGGAACACCGGUGGCGAAAGCGGCUCACUGGGUCUUUUCUGACGCUGAGGAACGAAAGCUAGGGGAGCAAACGGG